CAUGCAAGUCGAACGAUGAACCCCGCUUGCGGGGGGAUUAGUGGCGAACGGAUGAGUAACACGUGACUAACUUGCCCUUAACUCUGGGAUAAACCUUGGAAACGGGGUCUAAUACUCGAUAUUGACUUUACCUCGCAUGGGGUUUGGUUGAAAGAUUUAUUGGUUUUGGAUUGACUUGCGGCCUAUCAGCAGGUUGGUGAGGUAAAGGCUCACCAAGGCGACGACGUGUANCCGGCCUGAGAGGGUGACCGGCCACACUGGGACUUAGACACUGCCCAGACUCCUACGGGAGGCAGCAGUGGGGAAUAUUGCACAAUGGGCGAAAGCCUGAUGCAGCGACGCCGCGUGAGGGAUGACGGCCUUCGGGUUGUAAACCUCUUUCAGUAGGGAACAAGG
This 396-nucleotide ribosomal RNA is filed under the name Arthrobacter psychrolactophilus. RNAcentral describes it as "bacterial SSU rRNA". It matches the Rfam family "Bacterial small subunit ribosomal RNA", at positions 54 to 451 of the family's 1533-position model. The record is from RNAcentral. Lineage: Bacteria; Bacillati; Actinomycetota; Actinomycetes; Micrococcales; Micrococcaceae.